Molecule: non-coding RNA, 121 nt
Organism: Triticum urartu
Lineage: Eukaryota; Viridiplantae; Streptophyta; Magnoliopsida; Poales; Poaceae
Source: Rfam
CUAGUACUCCCUUCGUCUGGAAAUACUUGUCAUUAAAAUGAACAAAAGAAGAUGUAUUUUAUAAAUACAUCUCUUUUUACCCAUUUUGAUGACAAGUAUUUUCGGACGGAGGGAGUACAAC